This 1032-nucleotide long non-coding RNA is filed under the name Macaca fascicularis (crab-eating macaque). RNAcentral's name for it is "lncRNA (ENSMFAG00000062304.1)". The record is from RNAcentral. Lineage: Eukaryota; Metazoa; Chordata; Mammalia; Primates; Cercopithecidae.
UUUUUGUGGAAACAAAGUCUUACUAUGUUGCUCAGGCUGGUUUCAAAUUCCUGGCUUCAAGUAGGACCUUCAAGGAGGUCCCACCUCGACCUCCCAAAGUGCUGGGAUUACGGGUGUGAGCCAUCACGCCCAGCCUCCAACCCCUGUUUUGAAGUUACGUCCUUACAUAUUUACAGAAGAAAUGAUGUGAUGUUUGGGAUUGCCUCCAAAAUAAUGCUGGAGGGGGGAAAUGGGUGGGAGGUGGAGGCAAAUAUGAAACAAGGAUGGCUAUGGGUUGGCUAUCAUUGAAGCAGAGUGCCAGGGACAUGGAUGUUCAUUUUAUUUUUACGUCUACUUUCGUAUGUGUUUGAAAUUUUCCACAUAACAGUUUUUAAAAAGGAAAAGGAAAACAAAAGAGAUCGUGCGUUUUAACAAAAGAGGUUAGACAGAGGAGGAGGAACUAAGGCGAGGGCCUGAGAGGAAAGGCCAGAGGCCCAGGAGAGAAACCAGGUGAGUAUGGUGUCCUUGAGGUCAAGUGGAGAAGGAGGAGGGUCACUAAAAGCUGCUAUAGAGGGUCAAGUCCAGUGAAGACUUGGAACUGCAUCACCUGGCUCUCAAGUGGCCCAUACCCCAAUUAUGUGACACCACCCUCUUUCAUUAUUUGUUUUUCAUUUGUUUUUGUUUUUGAAAUGGGGUCUAACUCUUUUGCCCAGCCUGGAGUGCAGUGGUGCGAUCUCAGCUCACUGCACCCUCCACUUCCCAAGCUCAAGCAAUCCUCCCACCGCAACCUCCUGAAUAGCUGGAUCUACAGGCGUGCACCACCACACCUGGCUAAUUUUUGUAUUUUUUGUAGAGAUGGGGUUUUGCCAUUUUGCCUAGGCUAGUCUGGAACUCCUGGGCUCAAGCAAGCCGUCCAACUCACUUUUGUAAAGUGCUGGGACUACAGGCGUGAGCCACCAUGCCCAACUGGUAUUUUUUAAAUGCUUUAAAAAAAGAGAUGGGAUCUGGCUAUGUUGCCCUGGCUGGUCUCAAGCUGCUGGCCUCAAAUGAUCC